RNAcentral lists this ribosomal RNA (469 nucleotides) under uncultured bacterium. RNAcentral describes it as "partial 16S ribosomal RNA". It matches the Rfam family "Bacterial small subunit ribosomal RNA", at positions 28 to 507 of the family's 1533-position model. The record is from RNAcentral.
GACGAACGCUGGCGGCGUGCUUAACACAUGCAAGUCGAACGGUGAAGCGAGUGCUUGCACUCGUGGAUCAGUGGCGAACGGGUGAGUAACACGUGAGUAACCUGCCCAUCACUCUGGGAUAAGCACUGGAAACGGUGUCUAAUACUGGAUACGACCAACCCUUGCAUGGGGUGUUGGUGGAAAGAUUUAUCGGUGACGGAUGGACUCGCGGCCUAUCAGCUUGUUGGCGGGGUAAUGGCCCACCAAGGCGACGACGGGUAGCCGGCCUGAGAGGGUGACCGGCCAAACUGGGACUGCGACACGGCCCAGACGCCGACGGAAGGCAGCAGUGGGAAAUUUUGCCCAAGAGGCGAAAGCCUGGUGCAGCGACGCCGCGUGGGGGAUGACGGCCUUCGGGUUGUAAACCUCUUUCAGCAGGGAAGAAGCGAAAGUGACGGUACCUGCAGAAGAAGCACCGGCUAACUACGUG